This 203-nucleotide long non-coding RNA is filed under the name Musa acuminata (dwarf banana). RNAcentral's name for it is "long non-coding RNA (MACU_LNC001947)". The record is from RNAcentral. Lineage: Eukaryota; Viridiplantae; Streptophyta; Magnoliopsida; Zingiberales; Musaceae.
UCCCACUAUUUUACUAACGAGUCACACGACACCCUCAGCACGUGAAACGGAAGUCUCCGGCAGACUUCUAGUGGGGAUCAGGAUCCAAUCAAUGUCUUAGUGUAACCUCGAGGGACUCGACCAAUCACACUAAGCCUAAAAGGUAGGCAACUCUUGCCGAUCACAACUCCUUAUGAUUCCCGUCCUGUUCGGCCUCCGAAUCA